AGAGUUUGAUUCUGGCUCAGAUUGAACGCUGGCGGCAGGCUUAACACAUGCAAGUCGAGCGGAAACGAAGGUAGCUUGCUACCAGGCGUCGAGCGGCGGACGGGUGAGUAAUGCUUAGGAAUCUACCGAGUAGUGGGGGAUAGCCAUUGGAAACGAUGAUUAAUACCGCAUAUAUCCUACGGGGGAAAGCAGGGGACCUUCGGGCCUUGCGCUAUUCGAUGAGCCUGAGUGAGAUUAGCUAGUUGGUGGGGUAAAGGCCUACCAAGGCGACGAUCUCUAGCUGGUCUGAGAGGAUGAUCAGCCACACUGGGACUGAGACACGGCCCAGACUCCUACGGGAGGCAGCAGUGGGGAAUAUUGCACAAUGGACGAAAGUCUGAUGCAGCCAUGCCGCGUGUGUGAAGAAGGCCUUCGGGUUGUAAAGCACUUUCAGCGAGGAGGAAAGGUCAGUAAGUAAUAUUUGCUGGCUGUGACGUUACUCGCAGAAGAAGCACCGGCUAAUUUAGUGCCAGCAGCCGCGGUAAUACUAAAGGUGCAAGCGUUAAUCGGAAUUACUGGGCGUAAAGCGCGCGUAGGUGGUUUGUUAAGUUGGGUGUGAAAGCCCAGGGCUCAACCUUGGAACUGCAUUCAAAACUGACUCACUAGAGUACGAGAGAGGUUAGUGGAAUUUCCUGUGUAGCGGUGAAAUGCGUAGAGAUGGGAAGGAACACCAGUGGCGAAGCGACUGACUGGCUCGAUACUGA
This 743-nucleotide ribosomal RNA is filed under the name uncultured bacterium. RNAcentral describes it as "bacterial SSU rRNA". It matches the Rfam family "Bacterial small subunit ribosomal RNA", at positions 8 to 743 of the family's 1533-position model. The record is from RNAcentral.